This is a small nuclear RNA of Hemiscyllium ocellatum (epaulette shark), 196 nucleotides long. RefSeq annotates it as U2 spliceosomal RNA. Lineage: Eukaryota; Metazoa; Chordata; Chondrichthyes; Orectolobiformes; Hemiscylliidae. The transcript has a single exon. The record is from RefSeq and is a predicted model, not a curated record.
AUCGCUUCUGAGCCGUUUGGCUAAGAUCAUGUGUAGUUUUGUUCUUUUCAGUUUUAAUAUCUGAUAUACUGUACACCUUAGGUGGGGACUGAAUGAUAAUCUGAUUUUUGGAGGAAGUAGUUGCGUUAGGAGCAUGCUCCAUCAAAUUCGCGCAUUUUCCUAGUAUUGCAGUGCUUCUGAGAAUAGUGCACCCUCA